Molecule: long non-coding RNA, 270 nt
Filed under: Malus domestica (apple)
Lineage: Eukaryota; Viridiplantae; Streptophyta; Magnoliopsida; Rosales; Rosaceae
Description: long non-coding RNA (MDOM_LNC007477)
Source: RNAcentral
AUGGAUUUGGAUGGAAGACCAAAAUUGAGAACCUCUAAGUAUCUACACCAAGGUUAGAUUGGAGAAGAAAUGAGUGACCUUGGAGGAGUAGUAUUGCUAGCUAAUCCCUCCAAGGGGGCCGGCCUCUUUAGAGAGAAAGGGAGAGACAUGUUCUCUCCAAUUUUCUCCAAAAGAAACCCUUAAUGAAUUUAGGCUAUAAAGUCCUUUAUAUAGUCCCUUCAAAUAAGUGACCUAAAGAACCAAAAAACCAUUCUCUCUAACAUGGCCGGC